AAAUCUGCUAGUGGCUGCUCCAAAGCCGUCUGCAUUCUGAUUUUAUUUGACAAGCCAGCAGUACAAAAGUGAUAAGUACAGAUUAGACAUCAUGCAUCAUCCAAACCCUGGUCAGCACCACAACCCCCCGGGGCACCAAAACCCAGGGCAUGGUGCACCUCACCAUGGAAGCCACCCUCCACCACAUGGACACCAAAACCCUCAUGGUGGACACGGACCAGCACCACAUGGUCAACAUGGACCAGGGCCACAUGGCCACCAGGCCCCCCAUGGAAAGCAUUAGCACUUUGUCAUGAAAUGAUUGAGAAUCGCUGUAGUAUCCUGUACAAGACAAUGAAAAAAGACUUCAAAUCCUCUUUUACAAAUCUACAGUCCAGUAUGCAUAUAAUGUAUAUUAAAUAAAAAUCUCACAUCUA
Molecule: long non-coding RNA, 416 nt
Organism: Pseudophryne corroboree (corroboree frog)
Lineage: Eukaryota; Metazoa; Chordata; Amphibia; Anura; Myobatrachidae
Exons: 4
Source: RefSeq, a predicted model, not a curated record